UACGUAGGGUGCAAGCGUUAAUCGGAAUUACUGGGCGUAAAGCGUGCGCAGGCGGCGCGUUAAGACAGGUGUGAAAGCCCCGAGCUUAACUUGGGAAUUGCGCUUGUGACUGGCGGGCUGGAGUGUGGCAGAGGGAGGUGGAAUUCCACGUGUAGCAGUGAAAUGCGUAGAGAUGUGGAGGAACACCGAUGGCGAAGGCAGCCUCCUGGGCCAGCACUGACGCUCAUGCACGAAAGCGUGGGGAGCAAACAGG
Molecule: ribosomal RNA, 253 nt
Filed under: uncultured bacterium
Lineage: Bacteria
Description: partial 16S ribosomal RNA
Rfam family: Bacterial small subunit ribosomal RNA
Source: RNAcentral